RNAcentral lists this ribosomal RNA (254 nucleotides) under uncultured bacterium. Its description in RNAcentral is "partial 16S ribosomal RNA". It matches the Rfam family "Bacterial small subunit ribosomal RNA", at positions 524 to 776 of the family's 1533-position model. The record is from RNAcentral.
UACGGGGGGGGCAAGCGUUGUUCGGAAUUACUGGGCGUAAAGGGCGCGUAGGCGCCAUCUAAGUCAGACGUGAAAUCCCUCGGCUCAACCGAGGAACUGCGUCUGAUACUGGAAGGCUUGAAUCCGGGAGAGGGAUGUGGAAUUCCAGGUGUAGCGGUGAAAUGCGCAGAUAUCAGGAAGAACACCCGUGGCUAAGGCGGCUCUCUAGUACGGUACUGACGCUGAGACGCGAAAGCGUUGGGGGAGCGAACAGG